GGCUUGUAGCUCAGUGGUAGAGCACUUGCCUUGAAUGUGUGUGCACUGGGUUUGAUACUCAGCACCA
This 67-nucleotide transfer RNA is filed under the name Marmota monax (woodchuck). RNAcentral's name for it is "tRNA.Ser". The record is from RNAcentral. Lineage: Eukaryota; Metazoa; Chordata; Mammalia; Rodentia; Sciuridae.